AAAGUAAUAAAAAUCCCGGAAGAGGAUCAAACAGUUCGCACGAAGCCAAAAUAUGGCAAUCAGCCCAAAUCAGGAUGAUAGAAAUUAAGUUUCAGUCAAAUACGCAGUAAAAUCAUCAACCAGGACAGACCAAGUCACAAUCUCCAAUAGUACAUGAUCCCACGCCCGUUAUCCAUCGUGUGUCUCGCCUCAAUAUAGCACAAUGAUGUACAAUCCGAGGUUUCAAACCCUGGGAGCAUCAUUUACUAUCAAUACUCACCUCGAACCAAAUAAAUCUCUAGCUCGUGAUGCCUUUUCCACUUGAAUCGGCCUCCAAGUGUGUCGAAUCAAUCCAAAACCAGAACGAAUACGUCAAAAUGCGUUAAGGGGACAAAGCCCAAGCAAAAAC
RNAcentral lists this long non-coding RNA (388 nucleotides) under Nicotiana benthamiana. RNAcentral's name for it is "long non-coding RNA (NBEN_LNC021596)". Lineage: Eukaryota; Viridiplantae; Streptophyta; Magnoliopsida; Solanales; Solanaceae. The record is from RNAcentral.